AAGCCGGGGAGGAGGGAAAGAGACAGGAAGGGAGGGAGGAGCCAGGGAAGGGCAGGGAGAGGGCGACAAAGACUGCGCCCGCGGCUGGCGCUGGCGGUCCCCCGCCACAGCGGCCGGUGGGGCCCCUGUCCCCCGCUUGGGCACCUGGAGAGGGGGCGCAGGAGCAGCGGGCGGGGCUGGGGUGGGAGGAGAAGGCGGGAGCAGAGGAGAAAACCGAGGGGCCAGAGGACGUCGCCAGGGAUCGCGAAGGAGUCCGGCCCAGUUUUAAUGACGCCCCCAGAGGAGAGGAGAGGGGACACCCCGGGGCCCUGCCGCCCGCCCGCCGGGUCCCAGCCCUGCCCGCCCGCUGAACUGCCUCCCACCUACUGCUGCUGGUUUUGCUGUGGGCAGGGAUAUGGAGAUGAGAUAGAAGCCGGCUUCUCCCCUCAUGGCUGAUGCUCCCAAGGGGGCCAUAGACGUGAACAGAUCACCAGAGGAAGGUUUUAAAAGCAGAAUCAAAGUGUAAAACAGAGAGAAAUUUCUCUGAUGCGGCAUUUACAUAAGAAACACAUUCAGAAAAAGAGACUGUGAUUCUGAAAGUGUCCUGAUUAUACUGCACGGAAAAUCUCCCUGGGAUUGGAGGAGGUUUAAAUUCGUUGGGAGAGGAGGAAAUAAAAUCCCCUUUUCAAUUUGGAAAUCUCUCCCACACUGAAAAUUCACCGGAGGAAAUGGUCACACUGCGUUCGGGAGCAGACCACGUCCUGUCUGUUGGAGGGCUCCACCUUCUCAAGCCUUCAUUACAAUCCCCCAGCUCCUCUUGCAUCCGUUUAACAAGUCUCACGUUGCGCUUGGUGCUACUGCAUAGGCCUUGAGCACAACUCUCAAGGAGGCCCUUGUUUUUGGUGGUUGUGCAUUAUGCUCUAGAAAUGUAUCCACAGGCCAUUUAAUUGACUCGAGAAAUCAAAGUCAGUAGGAAUAGCACAAAAUGUCAUGUACUUCCACAAGCCCAUAUUAUCUCUGUGUGUAUCUGUAUACAUUUUCUCCAUCUAUUCCAAUAUUUGCAGGUUAAACUGCAU
Molecule: long non-coding RNA, 1055 nt
Filed under: Equus asinus (donkey)
Lineage: Eukaryota; Metazoa; Chordata; Mammalia; Perissodactyla; Equidae
Description: lncRNA (ENSEASG00005035446.1)
Source: RNAcentral